Molecule: ribosomal RNA, 475 nt
Filed under: uncultured Actinomycetes bacterium
Lineage: Bacteria; Bacillati; Actinomycetota; Actinomycetes
Description: bacterial SSU rRNA
Rfam family: Bacterial small subunit ribosomal RNA
Source: RNAcentral
CGCACUUCGGUGCAAUGUACGAGUGGCGAACGGGUGAGUAACACGUGAGAAACCUGCCUCGGAGACCGGGACAACCAUUGGAAACGAUGGCUAAUACCGGAUGUCCUCAUUUGAUCGCAUGAUCUUUUGAGGAAAUGAUCCGUCGCUCCGGGAGGGUCUCGCGGCCUAUCAGCUUGUUGGUGAGGUAAUGGCUCACCAAGGCAUCGACGGGUAGCUGGUCUGAGAGGACGAUCAGCCACACUGGGACUGAGACACGGCCCAGACUCCUACGGGAGGCAGCAGUAGGGAAUCUUGCACAAUGGGCGAAAGCCUGAUGCAGCGACGCCGCGUGGGGGAUGAAGGCCUUCGGGUUGUAAACCCCUUUCAGUAGGGACGAAAAUGACGGUACCUACAGAAGAAGCUCCGGCCAACUACGUGCCAGCAGCCGCGGUAACACGUAGGGAGCAAGCGUUGUCCGGAUUUAUUGGGCGUAAAG